This 459-nucleotide ribosomal RNA is filed under the name uncultured bacterium. RNAcentral describes it as "SSU rRNA". It matches the Rfam family "Bacterial small subunit ribosomal RNA", at positions 26 to 518 of the family's 1533-position model. The record is from RNAcentral.
AGAAUCAACGCUGGCGGCGUGCCUAACACAUGCAAGUCGCACGAGAAAGGGACUUCGGUCCUGAGUAAAGUGGCGCACGGGUGAGUAACACGUGAAUCAUCUACCUCCGAAUGGGGAAUAACUGAGAGAAAUCUUAGCUAAUACCGCAUAAUACCUACGGGUCAAAGCAGCAAUGCGUUUGGAGAGGAGUUCGCGGUCGAUUAGUUAGUUGGCGGGGUAAUGGCCCACCAAGACGAUGAUCGAUAUCCGGCCUGAGAGGGCGCACGGACACACUGGAACUGAAACACGGUCCAGACUCCUACGGGAGGCAGCAGUGGGGAAUUUUGCGCAAUGGGGGAAACCCUGACGCAGCAACGCCGCGUGGAGGAUGAAAUAUCUUGGUAUGUAAACUCCUUUCGAUGGGGAAGAUAAUGACGGUACCCAUAGAAGAAGCCCGGCUAACUUCGUGCCAGCAGCCGC